AGAGCUAGGUGUAGCCAAGGACAGACUUGCCGGCUAACUCCAAGGUUCAGCAAAGCUGAGAUUCUCCCAAUACCAGGAGCCGGCAAGUCAUCCUUGGCUGCAUCCCGUUCUCC
This is a non-coding RNA of Oryza brachyantha (malo sina), 113 nucleotides long. Lineage: Eukaryota; Viridiplantae; Streptophyta; Magnoliopsida; Poales; Poaceae. The record is from Rfam.